RNAcentral lists this ribosomal RNA (254 nucleotides) under uncultured Pseudomonadota bacterium. RNAcentral describes it as "uncultured proteobacterium partial 16S ribosomal RNA". It matches the Rfam family "Bacterial small subunit ribosomal RNA", at positions 524 to 776 of the family's 1533-position model. The record is from RNAcentral. Lineage: Bacteria; Pseudomonadati; Pseudomonadota.
UACGGAGGGUGCAAGCGUUAAUCGGAAUUACUGGGCGUAAAGCGCACGUAGGCGGCUUGUUAAGUCGGAUGUGAAAGCCCCGGGCUCAACCUGGGAAUGGCAUCCGAUACUGGCAAGCUAGAGUACAAGAGAGGGUGGUAGAAUUUCUAGUGUAGCGGUGAAAUGCGUAGAUAUUAGAAGGAAUACCGAUGGCGAAGGCAACCCCCCUGGGCCUGUACUGACGCUCAUGCACGAAAGCGUGGGGAGCAAACAGG